AAUUGAUUGAUGGUGCUUGCACCUGAUUGAUUUUGGUCGCCAACGAGUGGCGGACGGGUGAGUAACACGUAGGUAACCUGCCCAGAAGCGGGGGACAACAUUUGGAAACAGAUGCUAAUACCGCAUAACAACGUUGUUCGCAUGAACAACGCUUAAAAGAUGGCUUCUCGCUAUCACUUCUGGAUGGACCUGCGGUGCAUUAGCUUGUUGGUGGGGUAAUGGCCUACCAAGGCGAUGAUGCAUAGCCGAGUUGAGAGACUGAUCGGCCACAAUGGGACUGAGACACGGCCCAUACUCCUACGGGAGGCAGCAGUAGGGAAUCUUCCACAAUGGGCGCAAGCCUGAUGGAGCAACACCGCGUGAGUGAAGAAGGGUUUCGGCUCGUAAAGCUCUGUUGUUAAAGAAGAACACGUAUGAGAGUAACUGUUCAUACGUUGACGGUAUUUAACCAGAAAGUCACGGCUAACUACGUGCCAGCAGCCGCGGUAAUACGUAGGUGG
Molecule: ribosomal RNA, 500 nt
Filed under: Limosilactobacillus fermentum
Lineage: Bacteria; Bacillati; Bacillota; Bacilli; Lactobacillales; Lactobacillaceae
Description: bacterial SSU rRNA
Rfam family: Bacterial small subunit ribosomal RNA
Source: RNAcentral